Molecule: transfer RNA, 75 nt
Filed under: Chlamydia trachomatis
Lineage: Bacteria; Pseudomonadati; Chlamydiota; Chlamydiia; Chlamydiales; Chlamydiaceae
Also listed under: 5 other names
Description: tRNA-Cys(gca)
Rfam family: tRNA
About the family: Transfer RNA (tRNA) molecules are approximately 80 nucleotides in length.
Source: RNAcentral
GGUUCCGUAGCCAAGUGGCUAAGGCAAUAGACUGCAACUCUGUGAUCAUCGGUUCGAAUCCGAUCGGAACCUCCA